Alosa sapidissima (American shad) is the source of this 164-nucleotide long non-coding RNA. RefSeq lists it as uncharacterized. The record is from RefSeq and is a predicted model, not a curated record. The transcript has 3 exons. Lineage: Eukaryota; Metazoa; Chordata; Actinopteri; Clupeiformes; Clupeidae.
UGUGUGUGUGUGUGUGUGUGUUUGGCCAUGGACGGAUUAUGAACUUUCGGGCCCCUGGGCCCAGUUGUAUUAAGGGCCCCUCACUAAUUGUCACAUAUGUGGGAAGGGGGGUUUGGGGGUCCUCCCCCAGAAAUGUUUUAAUUUGUAUGAUGUGAUUUCCUGUA